UUAAUAACUGACAUGUUAGAUGAGCCGC
This 28-nucleotide non-coding RNA is filed under the name Bombyx mori (domestic silkworm). Lineage: Eukaryota; Metazoa; Arthropoda; Insecta; Lepidoptera; Bombycidae. The record is from RNAcentral.